This 1339-nucleotide ribosomal RNA is filed under the name uncultured Prevotellaceae bacterium. RNAcentral describes it as "bacterial SSU rRNA". It matches the Rfam family "Bacterial small subunit ribosomal RNA". The record is from RNAcentral. Lineage: Bacteria; Pseudomonadati; Bacteroidota; Bacteroidia; Bacteroidales; Prevotellaceae.
AGAGUUUGAUCCUGGCUCAGGAUGAACGCUAGCUACAGGCUUAACACAUGCAAGUCGAGGGGCAGCAUGGGGUUUGCUUGCAAACCCCGAUGGCGACCGGCGCACGGGUGAGUAACGCGUAUCCAACCUGCCCCUGUCCUCGGGAUAGCCCGCCGAAAGGCGGAUUAAUACCGGACGCUGUCACAUGAUGGCAUCAGAGCGUGACGAAAGGAUUUUUUCCGGACAGGGAUGGGGAUGCGUCCGAUUAGGCAGGCGGCGGGGCGACGGCCCCCCCACAUUGGAACUGAGACACGGUCCAAACUCCUACGGGAGGCAGCAGUGAGGAAUAUUGGUCAAUGGGCGAGAGCCUGAACCAGCCAAGUAGCGUGAGGGACGACGGCCCUACGGGUUGUAAACCUCUUUUUCGCGGGGAUAAAGUGCGCCACGCGUGGCGUUUUGCAGGUACCGCGUGAAUAAGGACCGGCUAAUUCCGUGCCAGCAGCCGCGGUAAUACGGAAGGUCCGGGCGUUAUCCGGAUUUAUUGGGUUUAAAGGGAGCGUAGGCGGCAUGUUAAGCGUGCUGUGAAAUGCGUCGGCUCAACCGCCGCAGUGCAGCGCGAACUGGCUUGCUUGAGUUCGCUGAAGGAAGGCGGAAUUCGUGGUGUAGCGGUGAAAUGCUUAGAUAUCACGAAGAACCCCGAUUGCGAAGGCAGCUUUCCGUAGCGUUACUGACGCUGAAGCUCGAAGGUGCGGGUAUCGAACAGGAUUAGAUACCCUGGUAGUCCGCACGGUAAACGAUGGAUGCCCGCUGUCGGCCUUUUGGUCGGUGGCCAAGCGAAAGAAACUCAAAGGAAUUGACGGGGGCCCGCACAAGCGGAGGAACAUGUGGUUUAAUUCGAUGAUACGCGAGGAACCUUACCCGGGCUUGAACUGCAGAGGAGGGGAUUGGAGACGGUCCCGCCCUUCGGGGCCUCUGUGGAGGUGCUGCAUGGUUGUCGUCAGCUCGUGCCGUGAGGUGUCGGCUUAAGUGCCAUAACGAGCGCAACCCCUCUCCGUAGUUGCCAUCAGGUUAUGCUGGGCACUCUGCGGACACUGCCACCGCAAGGUGUGAGGAAGGUGGGGACGACGUCAAAUCAGCACGGCCCUUACGUCCGGGGCUACACACGUGUUACAAUGGGGGGUACAGAAGGCUGGCCGUACGCGAGUGCGGCCGAAUCGAGAAAGCCCCCCUCAGUUCGGACUGGGGUCUGCAACCCGACCCCACGAAGCUGGAUUCCGCGAGGGUCGGCCUAGGGUGAAACAGGUGAUUGGGGCUAAGUCGUAACAAGGUAGCCGUACCGGAAGGUGCGGCUGGAACACCU